This 393-nucleotide ribosomal RNA is filed under the name uncultured bacterium. Its description in RNAcentral is "partial 16S ribosomal RNA". It matches the Rfam family "Bacterial small subunit ribosomal RNA", at positions 523 to 918 of the family's 1533-position model. The record is from RNAcentral.
AUACGGAGGAUCCGAGCGUUAUCCGGAUUUAUUGGGUUUAAAGGGAGCGUAGGUGGAUUGUUAAGUCAGUUGUGAAAGUUUGCGGCUCAACCGUAAAAUUGCAGUUGAAACUGGCAGUCUUGAGUACAGUAGAGGUGGGCGGAAUUCGUGGUGUAGCGGUGAAAUGCUUAGAUAUCACGAAGAACUCCGAUCGCGAAGGCAGCUCACCGGGCCGGAACUGACACUGAUGCUCGAAAGUGCGGGUAUCAAACAGGAUUAGAUACCCUGGUAGUCCGCACAGUAAACGAUGAAUACUCGCUGUUUGCGAUACACGGUAAGCGGCCAAGCGAAAGCGUUAAGUAUUCCACCUGGGGAGUACGCCGGCAACGGUGAAACUCAAAUGAAUUGACGGGG